GGGGAUUUAGCUCAGUGGUUCCAGCACUUGCCUCACAAGCAAGCACAAGGUCCUGAGUUUGAUCCCCG
This 68-nucleotide transfer RNA is filed under the name Heterocephalus glaber (naked mole-rat). It matches the Rfam family "tRNA". From Rfam's summary of the family: Transfer RNA (tRNA) molecules are approximately 80 nucleotides in length. Their secondary structure includes four short double-helical elements and three loops (D, anti-codon, and T loops). Further hydrogen bonds mediate the characteristic L-shaped molecular structure. tRNAs have two regions of fundamental functional importance: the anti-codon, which is responsible for specific mRNA codon recognition, and the 3' end, to which the tRNAs corresponding amino acid is attached (by aminoacyl-tRNA synthetases). tRNAs cope with the degeneracy of the genetic code in two manners: having more than one tRNA (with a specific anti-codon) for a particular amino acid; and 'wobble' base-pairing, i.e. permitting non-standard base-pairing at the 3rd anti-codon position. The record is from Rfam by way of RNAcentral. Lineage: Eukaryota; Metazoa; Chordata; Mammalia; Rodentia; Bathyergidae.